UACGUAGGGGGCAAGCGUUGUCCGGAUUUACUGGGCGUAAAGAGCGCGCAGGCGGUCAUUCAAGUCGCGUGUGAAAGCCCCCGGCUCAACUGGGGAGGGUCACGCGAUACUGAUCGACUCGAAGGCAGGAGAGGGAAGUGGAAUUCCCGGUGUAGUGGUGAAAUGCGUAGAUAUCGGGAGGGACACCAGUGGCGAAGGCGACUUCCUGGCCUGUUCUUGACGCUGAGGCGCGAAAGCUAGGGGAGCAAACGGG
This 253-nucleotide ribosomal RNA is filed under the name uncultured bacterium. RNAcentral describes it as "partial 16S ribosomal RNA". It matches the Rfam family "Bacterial small subunit ribosomal RNA", at positions 524 to 776 of the family's 1533-position model. The record is from RNAcentral.